Molecule: ribosomal RNA, 498 nt
Filed under: uncultured bacterium
Lineage: Bacteria
Description: partial 16S ribosomal RNA
Rfam family: Bacterial small subunit ribosomal RNA
Source: RNAcentral
AUUGAACGCUGGCGGCAUGCCUUACGCAUGCAAGUCGAACGGUAACAGGUCUUCAGAUGCUGACGAGUGGCGAACGGGUGAGUAAUACAUCGGAACGUGCCUAGUAGUGGGGGAUAACUACUCGAAAGAGUGGCUAAUACCGCAUGAGAUCUACGGAUGAAAGCAGGGGAUCGCAAGACCUUGUGCUACUAGAGCGGCCGAUGGCAGAUUAGGUAGUUGGUGGGAUAAAAGCUUACCAAGCCGACGAUCUGUAGCUGGUCUGAGAGGACGAUCAGCCACACUGGGACUGAGACACGGCCCAGACUCCUACGGGAGGCAGCAGCGGGGAAUUUUGGACAAUGGGCGAAAGCCUGAUCCAGCAAUGCCGCGUGCAGGAUGAAGGCCUUCGGGUUGUAAACUGCUUUUGUACGGAACGAAAAGCCCCGGGUUAAUACCCUGGGGUCAUGACGGUACCGUAAGAAUAAGCACCGGCUAACUACGUGCCAGCCGCCGCCGUAA